RNAcentral lists this ribosomal RNA (2901 nucleotides) under Klebsiella pneumoniae subsp. pneumoniae. Its description in RNAcentral is "23S ribosomal RNA". It matches the Rfam family "Bacterial large subunit ribosomal RNA". The record is from RNAcentral. Lineage: Bacteria; Pseudomonadati; Pseudomonadota; Gammaproteobacteria; Enterobacterales; Enterobacteriaceae.
GGUUAAGCGACUAAGCGUACACGGUGGAUGCCCUGGCAGUCAGAGGCGAUGAAGGACGUGCUAAUCUGCGAAAAGCGUCGGUAAGGUGAUAUGAACCGUUACAGCCGGCGAUGUCCGAAUGGGGAAACCCAGUGCAAUUCGUUGCACUAUCGUUAACUGAAUACAUAGGUUAACGAGGCGAACCGGGGAACUGAAACAUCUAAGUACCCCGAGGAAAAGAAAUCAACCGAGAUUCCCCCAGUAGCGGCGAGCGAACGGGGAGCAGCCCAGAGUCUGAAUCAGCUUGUGUGUUAGUGGAACGGUCUGGAAAGUCCGACGGUACAGGGUGAUAGUCCCGUACACCAAAAUGCACAGGUUGUGAACUCGAAGAGUAGGGCGGGACACGUGGUAUCCUGUCUGAAUAUGGGGGGACCAUCCUCCAAGGCUAAAUACUCCUGACUGACCGAUAGUGAACCAGUACCGUGAGGGAAAGGCGAAAAGAACCCCGGCGAGGGGAGUGAAAAAGAACCUGAAACCGUGUACGUACAAGCAGUGGGAGCACCUUCGGGUGUGACUGCGUACCUUUUGUAUAAUGGGUCAGCGACUUAUAUUCUGUAGCAAGGUUAACCGUAUAGGGGAGCCGCAGGGAAACCGAGUCUUAACUGGGCGUUAAGUUGCAGGGUAUAGACCCGAAACCCGGUGAUCUAGCCAUGGGCAGGUUGAAGGUUGGGUAACACUAACUGGAGGACCGAACCGACUAAUGUUGAAAAAUUAGCGGAUGACUUGUGGCUGGGGGUGAAAGGCCAAUCAAACCGGGAGAUAGCUGGUUCUCCCCGAAAGCUAUUUAGGUAGCGCCUCGUGAACUCAUCUUCGGGGGUAGAGCACUGUUUCGGCUAGGGGGGUCAUCCCGACUUACCAACCCGAUGCAAACUACGAAUACCGAAGAAUGUUAUCACGGGAGACACACGGCGGGUGCUAACGUCCGUCGUGAAGAGGGAAACAACCCAGACCGCCAGCUAAGGUCCCAAAGUCAUGGUUAAGUGGGAAACGAUGUGGGAAGGCACAGACAGCCAGGAUGUUGGCUUAGAAGCAGCCAUCAUUUAAAGAAAGCGUAAUAGCUCACUGGUCGAGUCGGCCUGCGCGGAAGAUGUAACGGGGCUAAACCAUGCACCGAAGCUGCGGCAGCGACACUAUGUGUUGUUGGGUAGGGGAGCGUUCUGUAAGCCUGCGAAGGUGUGCUGUGAGGCAUGCUGGAGGUAUCAGAAGUGCGAAUGCUGACAUAAGUAACGAUAAAGCGGGUGAAAAGCCCGCUCGCCGGAAGACCAAGGGUUCCUGUCCAACGUUAAUCGGGGCAGGGUGAGUCGACCCCUAAGGCGAGGCCGAAAGGCGUAGUCGAUGGGAAACAGGUUAAUAUUCCUGUACUUGGUGUUACUGCGAAGGGGGACGGAGAAGGCUAUGUUAGCCGGGCGACGGUUGUCCCGGUUUAAGCAUGUAGGCUGGUUAUCCAGGCAAAUCCGGAUAAUCAAGGCUGAGGUGUGAUGACGAGGCACUACGGUGCUGAAGUAACAAAUGCCCUGCUUCCAGGAAAAGCCUCUAAGCAUCAGGUAACAUCAAAUCGUACCCCAAACCGACACAGGUGGUCAGGUAGAGAAUACCAAGGCGCUUGAGAGAACUCGGGUGAAGGAACUAGGCAAAAUGGUGCCGUAACUUCGGGAGAAGGCACGCUGGUGUGUAGGUGAAGUCCCUGCGGAUGGAGCUGAGACCAGUCGAAGAUACCAGCUGGCUGCAACUGUUUAUUAAAAACACAGCACUGUGCAAACACGAAAGUGGACGUAUACGGUGUGACGCCUGCCCGGUGCCGGAAGGUUAAUUGAUGGGGUUAUCCGUAAGGAGAAGCUCUUGAUCGAAGCCCCGGUAAACGGCGGCCGUAACUAUAACGGUCCUAAGGUAGCGAAAUUCCUUGUCGGGUAAGUUCCGACCUGCACGAAUGGCGUAAUGAUGGCCAGGCUGUCUCCACCCGAGACUCAGUGAAAUUGAACUCGCUGUGAAGAUGCAGUGUACCCGCGGCAAGACGGAAAGACCCCGUGAACCUUUACUAUAGCUUGACACUGAACAUUGAGCCUUGAUGUGUAGGAUAGGUGGGAGGCUUUGAAGCGUGGACGCCAGUCUGCGUGGAGCCAACCUUGAAAUACCACCCUUUAAUGUUUGAUGUUCUAACGUUGGCCCCUGACCGGGGUUGCGGACAGUGUCUGGUGGGUAGUUUGACUGGGGCGGUCUCCUCCCAAAGCGUAACGGAGGAGCACGAAGGUUAGCUAAUCCUGGUCGGACAUCAGGAGGUUAGUGCAAUGGCAUAAGCUAGCUUGACUGCGAGCGUGACGGCGCGAGCAGGUGCGAAAGCAGGUCAUAGUGAUCCGGUGGUUCUGAAUGGAAGGGCCAUCGCUCAACGGAUAAAAGGUACUCCGGGGAUAACAGGCUGAUACCGCCCAAGAGUUCAUAUCGACGGCGGUGUUUGGCACCUCGAUGUCGGCUCAUCACAUCCUGGGGCUGAAGUAGGUCCCAAGGGUAUGGCUGUUCGCCAUUUAAAGUGGUACGCGAGCUGGGUUUAGAACGUCGUGAGACAGUUCGGUCCCUAUCUGCCGUGGGCGCUGGAGAAUUGAGGGGGGCUGCUCCUAGUACGAGAGGACCGGAGUGGACGCAUCACUGGUGUUCGGGUUGUCAUGCCAAUGGCACUGCCCGGUAGCUAAAUGCGGAAGAGAUAAGUGCUGAAAGCAUCUAAGCACGAAACUUGCCCCGAGAUGAGUUCUCCCUGAGACUAUAAGUCUCCUGAAGGAACGUUAAAGACGAUGACGUUGAUAGGCCGGGUGUGUAAGCGCAGCGAUGCGUUGAGCUAACCGGUACUAAUGAACCGUGAGGCUUAACCUU